This 492-nucleotide ribosomal RNA is filed under the name uncultured bacterium. RNAcentral's name for it is "partial 16S ribosomal RNA". It matches the Rfam family "Bacterial small subunit ribosomal RNA", at positions 29 to 507 of the family's 1533-position model. The record is from RNAcentral.
AGUGAACGCUGGCGGUAGGCCUAACACAUGCAAGUCGAACGGCAGCACAGUAAGAGCUUGCUCUUACGGGUGGCGAGUGGCGGACGGGUGAGGAAUACAUCGGAAUCUACUUUUUCGUGGGGGAUAACGUAGGGAAACUUACGCUAAUACCGCAUACGACCUACGGGUGAAAGCAGGGGAUCUUCGGACCUUGCGCGAUUGAAUGAGCCGAUGUCGGAUUAGCUAGUUGGCGGGGUAAAGGCCCACCAAGGCGACGAUCCGUAGCUGGUCUGAGAGGAUGAUCAGCCACACUGGAACUGAGCCACGGUCCAGACUCCUACGGGAGGCAGCAGUGGGGAAUAUUGGACAAUGGGCGCAAGCCUGAUCCAGCCAUACCGCGUGGGUGAAGAAGGCCUUCGGGUUGUAAAGCCCUUUUGUUGGGAAAGAAAAGCAGCAGGUUAAUACCCCGCUGUCCUGACGGUACCCAAAGAAUAAGCACCGGCUAACUUCGUG